GGAAUCUUUUUUUGUCUUCAAUCCCAGUGCUAGGUAUCAUUUUUUUGUCUUCAAUCCCAGUGCUAGGUAUAAUUUUUUUGUCUUCAAUCCCAGUGCUAGGCACUCGUUUUCUUUUUUCAAUCCCAGUGCUAGGAAUUUUCUUCUUCAAUCCCAGUGCUAGGUAUCAUUUUUUCAUCUUCAAUCCCAGUGCUAGGUAUCAUUUUUUUUGUCUUCAAUCCCAGUGCUAGGUAUCAUUUUUCUGUCUUCAAUCCCAGUGCUAGGUAUCAUUUUUCUGUCUUCAAUCCCAGUGCUAGGUAUCAUUUUUCUGUCUUCAAUCCCAGUGCUAGGUAUCAGUUUUCUGUCUUCAAUCCCAGUGCUAGGUAUCAGUUUUCUGUCUUCAAUCCCAGUGCUAGGUAUCAGUUUUCUGUCUUCAAUCCCAGUGCUAGGUAUCAGUUUUCUGUCUUCAAUCCCAGUGCUAGGCACUCGUUUUUUUUCUGGUUUUUUUCUUCUGUUUUUGUUUUUUUUCUCUUCCCUAUGCCACAUGUGCUCCCUCUCCGGCCCCUAGAUCACCAGGCUGCUCAUUAUGGCGCACACCUGUCACCAUCGUUACACGCAUCAGACUCACCUGGACUCCAUCACUUCCCUGAUUACCUUCCCUAUAUAUGUCACUCCCUUUGGUUCCUUCCCCAGGCGUUAUUGUUUCUGUUUCAUGUCUGUGCGUUGUUCGUGUUUCUUGUUUUGUGUUAUGUUUCGUUUAGUUAUUUAAACACUCACUGUAUUGUGUGUGUAUUGUUUUUUUUGUGUCAGGUGGAAUGACGUUGGGUUUGGGAGUUGCUACAGGCUUUCAUGUCUCAGCCAGAUCACCAGGCCCCUUUGCCUCUGCCGGCUCAUCAGGCUCUCAAGCCUCAGCCGGAUCGCCAGGCUCCCCUGCCUCAGCCAGCUCGUCGGGCUUUCAUGCCUUCGUCGGUUCGCUAGGCUCCCCUGUGUCCACCGGCUCGUCAGGCUUCAACCGAUCUUUCAGGUUCCCGUGUCCCAGCCGGCGACAGGUUCCGAUGCAUCAGCAGGGGUGACCGGUCCACUCCUGAUCCCCGGGAUCGUCCCUUGGGUUGUCGGCCUGCGGCUGGAGCCUAACGCGCCGGCAAGGGGUACUGUCAGGUAUGCUCUCUCUCUGGCGCUCUAGGUCGCCAUGCUCCUGCGUCUCAGCCGGAUUGACAGGUUUCCCGCGCCUCUGCUCCUGAUCCCCGGGAUUGUCAUUUUGGUUGGCGUCCUGCAGCUGGAGCCGUGCGCCAGGGAGGGGAUACUCUAGGUCACCAGGCCGUCACCAUCGUUAUGUGCACCUGC
This is a long non-coding RNA of Oncorhynchus tshawytscha (Chinook salmon), 1320 nucleotides long. NCBI's taxonomy places the organism in Eukaryota, Metazoa, Chordata, Actinopteri, Salmoniformes, Salmonidae. The record is from Ensembl.